GACGAACGCUGGCGGCGUGCCUAAUACAUGCAAGUAGAACGCUGAAGGGGGAGCUUGCUCUUCUGGAUGAGUUGCGAACGGGUGAGUAACGCGUAGGUAACCUGCCUGGUAGCGGGGGAUAACUAUUGGAAACGAUAGCUAAUACCGCAUAACAGUAGAUGUUGCAUGACAUUUACUUAAAAGGUGCAAUUGCAUCACUACCAGAUGGACCUGCGUUGUAUUAGCUAGUUGGUGGGGUAACGGCUCACCAAGGCGACGAUACAUAGCCGACCUGAGAGGGUGAUCGGCCACACUGGGACUGAGACACGGCCCAGACUCCUACGGGAGGCAGCAGUAGGGAAUCUUCGGCAAUGGGCGGAAGUCUGACCGAGCAACGCCGCGUGAGUGAAGAAGGUUGUCGGAUCGUAAAGCUCUGUUGUAAGAGAAGAACGAGUGUGAGAGUGGAAAGUUCACACUGUGACGGUAUCUUACCAGAAAGGGACGGCUAACUACGUG
This 495-nucleotide ribosomal RNA is filed under the name uncultured bacterium. Its description in RNAcentral is "partial 16S ribosomal RNA". It matches the Rfam family "Bacterial small subunit ribosomal RNA", at positions 28 to 507 of the family's 1533-position model. The record is from RNAcentral.